CAUUUUAAAAAUUAUAAAAACACAAAAUUUGUAAAAAUUAAGACGCUGGGGAGAGAAACAGGUCAUUUUCAACAAGACAUCGUAAAAUCCGUCAGUCGCUCCCUGGUUUUCGACCUCCGGCAACUAUCCCUGGUAGCGCCCGGACUUGGAGGGUAGAUAUCCAAUACUUACUCCCGCCGGCGUCUACGAAACAAUAACGUUGUAACAAACAAAUUAAUGUGAACGUGAAGGAGGUGAUGGACUUUGGAACUCGUGGGAGACAAAAGUGCAGAAAGGCUAAAAGGCGGUGGACAGGAGGCAUUCCAUUGGGAGACUGCGAACAAACCACCUCGAACGUAGCUGCUUCAACUUGGCUUGUGAAGAAUCAUCUUAUGAGAAAACAUCAGGAAAACAGCAUUCAUCGACUGGGAUAUGCAGACAGCUGUUCUUCAAAGUUUAAAUAGCUCAAUAUAAUUACAUUUCCUGGAUGUAUAUGCUCAAAAAGUAAUAAAUAAUGUUUACUAUCA
RNAcentral lists this long non-coding RNA (506 nucleotides) under Cimex lectularius (bed bug). RNAcentral describes it as "uncharacterized LOC106669690, transcript variant X1". The record is from RNAcentral. Lineage: Eukaryota; Metazoa; Arthropoda; Insecta; Hemiptera; Cimicidae.